Chelonia mydas (Green sea turtle) is the source of this 173-nucleotide long non-coding RNA. RefSeq lists it as uncharacterized. The transcript has 3 exons. The record is from RefSeq and is a predicted model, not a curated record. Lineage: Eukaryota; Metazoa; Chordata; Testudines; Cheloniidae.
UGUUCCCUCUGCCCCUUGGCCCCCAAAUGCUAUAAAAGCUCCACGCCCACCUGUCCCACAACAACUGUUUUGUACAUAUAAAAGCCAGGGAUGGCGUUAAGGGGUAGCAAGCAGGGCAAUUGCCCAGGGCCCCAUGCCACAGGGAGCCCUAGGAAGCUAAAAUGCUCAGGCUU